Saprolegnia parasitica CBS 223.65 is the source of this 75-nucleotide non-coding RNA. The record is from the annotation of a RefSeq genome assembly. Lineage: Eukaryota; Oomycota; Saprolegniomycetes; Saprolegniales; Saprolegniaceae.
GGCAUCUAUUAGUCUAGUGGUUUAGACGCUGGUUUCGGUACCAGUUGGCGCUGGGUUCGAUCCCCGGUGGUGUCA